This 1138-nucleotide ribosomal RNA is filed under the name Kocuria palustris. RNAcentral describes it as "bacterial SSU rRNA". It matches the Rfam family "Bacterial small subunit ribosomal RNA", at positions 56 to 1199 of the family's 1533-position model. Lineage: Bacteria; Bacillati; Actinomycetota; Actinomycetes; Micrococcales; Micrococcaceae. The record is from RNAcentral.
UGUCAGUCGACGCUGAAGCACCAGCUUGCUGGUGUGAGAUGAGUGGCGAACGGGUGAGUAAUACGUGAGUAACCUGCCCUUGACUCUGGGAUAAGCCCGGGAAACUGGGUCUAAUACUGGAUGCUACAUGUCACCGCAUGGUGGUGUGUGGAAAGGGUUUACUGGUCUUGGAUGGGCUCACGGCCUAUCAGCUUGUUGGUGAGGUAAUGGCUCACCAAGGCGACGACGGGUAGCCGGCCUGAGAGGGUGACCGGCCACACUGGGACUGAGACACGGCCCAGACUCCUACGGGAGGCAGCAGUGGGGAAUAUUGCACAAUGGGCGAAAGCCUGAUGCAGCGACGCCGCGUGAGGGAUGACGGCCUUCGGGUUGUAAACCUCUUUCAGCAGGGAAGAAGCCACAAGUGACGGUACCUGCAGAAGAAGCGCCGGCUAACUACGUGCCAGCAGCCGCGGUAAUACGUAGGGCGCAAGCGUUGUCCGGAAUUAUUGGGCGUAAAGAGCUCGUAGGCGGUUUGUCGCGUCUGCUGUGAAAGCCCGGGGCUUAACCCCGGGUGUGCAGUGGGUACGGGCAGACUAGAGUGCAGUAGGGGAGACUGGAAUUCCUGGUGUAGCGGUGGAAUGCGCAGAUAUCAGGAGGAACACCGAUGGCGAAGGCAGGUCUCUGGGCUGUUACUGACGCUGAGGAGCGAAAGCAUGGGGAGCGAACAGGAUUAGAUACCCUGGUAGUCCAUGCCGUAAACGUUGGGCACUAGGUGUGGGGGACAUUCCACGUUUUCCGCGCCGUAGCUAACGCAUUAAGUGCCCCGCCUGGGGAGUACGGCCGCAAGGCUAAAACUCAAAGGAAUUGACGGGGGCCCGCACAAGCGGCGGAGCAUGCGGAUUAAUUCGAUGCAACGCGAAGAACCUUACCAAGGCUUGACAUAUACCGGAUCGUUCCAGAGAUGGUUCUUCCCCUUUGGGGUCGGUAUACAGGUGGUGCAUGGUUGUCGUCAGCUCGUGUCGUGAGAUGUUGGGUUAAGUCCCGCAACGAGCGCAACCCUCGUUCCAUGUUGCCAGCACGUGAUGGUGGGGACUCAUGGGAGACUGCCGGGGUCAACUCCGAAGGAAGGUGGGGGAUGACGUCAAAUCAUCAUGCC